ACAACGAACUGUGAGAAGUCAGCAGAAGUCGUAGUAGGCAAAGCUCUGAAAUGAGCGUUGCCGAAGGAC
Molecule: non-coding RNA, 69 nt
Filed under: uncultured Lachnoclostridium sp.
Lineage: Bacteria; Bacillati; Bacillota; Clostridia; Lachnospirales; Lachnospiraceae
Source: RNAcentral